Molecule: non-coding RNA, 46 nt
Organism: Monodelphis domestica (gray short-tailed opossum)
Lineage: Eukaryota; Metazoa; Chordata; Mammalia; Didelphimorphia; Didelphidae
Source: Rfam
AGCAAGGCCUUACUAAAGGCCACACAGGUAGUAAAUGGAAACCUGU